CAGCCUUGGAAGGAGCUUGGGUUCAUGCAAUGCUAAAGGUUCACAGACGCUGAGUCGAGAAUUCAUAAGCUUAUGUUCCUAUAGCUGCAACAAUAAAUCGACUUCACAGCACCAGUGGUCCCACCCCUCAUUAUUUACAGCCUGACAAUGAGCCAAACCCUGUUGUUCAAGAGAUCCAAGAGUAACUCCAAGACUGCCCUGUGGAGAGAGAAAACAAAGAGAACUUGUCCUAAGAGAACAAAGACUGCUCCUCAGUCAAGGCAGGAUGGAUGGAACAGAGUUUCUAAAAUGAAACAAGUAGCAGAAGCAGAGUAGUUUGCAGAAGAAAUUGUUAUACAAGUGCUUUUCCUAGGGAAAUAAACUGAUGUUGCUAAUA
Non-coding RNA from Cyanistes caeruleus (blue tit), 376 nucleotides. Lineage: Eukaryota; Metazoa; Chordata; Aves; Passeriformes; Paridae. The record is from RefSeq and is a predicted model, not a curated record.